AAAGAGGUGUAGUGAAGGAGUGAUAGUGGUAUAGAAAGAGGUUUAGUGAAGGAGUGAUAGUGGUAUAGAAAGAGGUGUGGUGAAGGAGUGAUAGUGGUAUAGAAAGAGGUGUAGUGAAGGAGUGAUGAUAUAUAAAGAGGUGUAGUGAAGGAGUGAUAGUGGUAUAGAAAGAGGUUUAGUGAAGGAGUGAUAGUGGUAUAGAAAGAGGUGUGGUGAAGGAGUGAUAGUGGUAUAGAAAGAGGUGUAGUGAAGGAGUGAUGAUAUAUAAAGAGGUGUAGUGAAGGAGUGAUAGUGGUAUAGAAAGAGGUUUAGUGAAGGAGUGAUAGUGGUAUAGAAAGAGGUGUGCUGAAGGAGUGAUAGUGGUAUAGAAAGAGGUAUAGUGAAGGAGUUAUAGUGGUAUAGAAAGGUGUAGUGAAGGAGUGAUAGUGGUAUAGAAAGAGGUGUAGUGAAGGAAUGAUAGUGGUAUCGAAA
This is a long non-coding RNA of Oncorhynchus keta (chum salmon), 471 nucleotides long. RefSeq lists it as uncharacterized. The transcript is spliced from 3 exons. NCBI's taxonomy places the organism in Eukaryota, Metazoa, Chordata, Actinopteri, Salmoniformes, Salmonidae. The record is from RefSeq and is a predicted model, not a curated record.